This is a long non-coding RNA of Sorex araneus (European shrew), 374 nucleotides long. RefSeq lists it as uncharacterized. NCBI's taxonomy places the organism in Eukaryota, Metazoa, Chordata, Mammalia, Eulipotyphla, Soricidae. The transcript has 3 exons. The record is from RefSeq and is a predicted model, not a curated record.
AGGUAUUCAUGGGGCCCUCCUGGUUGUGACUGAGUACAGCAUGAAAGCUUUGGCUUGGAGGGCUAGCCAGGGAUGCGUCCCUUCAGAUCAGUACUAACCUGGUGGCGGCGGUUUGGGACCUGCUCUCUGAGAAAUGCCUUGGAGGUUGCUGCGAAUCCUAGGUCACAGUUCGUGAGUUCACCAGCUGCUUCUGGCAAGUGAAGAGGACUCCCUGACUACAAUGGAUUUUGCUGACAUAAAGGAAAUCUUUAUGGUGAUCUUGUACCUGGAAAUCAUGGAUUAUUGGAUACAACACCUACCACUCCGCUCUUUUUGUUUAAAAACAAGUACUUAAACCCAAAAGAUAAAAAAUCCAAUAAAAUACUUUCAAGAAA